Non-coding RNA from Oreochromis niloticus (Nile tilapia), 47 nucleotides. The record is from Rfam. Lineage: Eukaryota; Metazoa; Chordata; Actinopteri; Cichliformes; Cichlidae.
CCACAGGUGUCUUUUCAGACACCACACACUCAAAAAAAAAAAGAAAA